AUAUAUUUAACGUGUGUUUUAUCUAUGUUGGUUAGAAUAAAUAAUUUAAGUUCUGCCGUGAUGUUUAUAUUAAUUGAAAGGAUUGAGAAACAAAUUUUAUUGAUUAAUUAAUAUAUUUAUUAAUGUAAAAUAUAAAUGCCAAUGUUUUUUUACUUAGUUUAUAAUGACGUCCCUAGAUUCAGAAAUCAUUGAAUGUUCUGAUGAUGAAAAUUAUGGAUUUAAAAAAAAUCAGGUAAACAAUUGGUAUCCCGAUCCAAUUGAUAUUUAUUCACUAUAUAAUUCAUUAGACUCUGGUAAUAUUUCAUCACUAAAAUUAGAUUGGACUUGUCCUGGAAGAAGAGAGCUUACUCCUGAAAAUACUCAAGUUUCUCAUAAUACUAUUAAUGAAGAGUGUGAAAUAACUGAAUCAAUUGAUCAAUCAGAUUUUGAUUUUGAAGAUGAAAUGUCUAAUAUGAAUUUAACUCGUUUAGAAGGCAAAAAAGAGUUAAAAGGUAGUGCCAAAAAAAAGACAACCAGUUUAGAUGCAGUUUUAUCAAAUAUGGUUAGACAUCAAAAAAUGGAUAAUAUGCUUGAUGAAAAAUUUGACUCAUUAUAAAAGUUAUUAAAAUUUUGUUAAAAUAAGAAAUAUUUAUUUAAUUGAACAUGAACCAGUCAACUAGUAAAAUGCAUUUAGGAUGUUCUGUAUGUUCUAAGUAUACGCAAUCAAGUUAUAACAGAAAUCCUGAUUCGACAUUUUUGCAUACAAGUCAAAAUAAAUUUUCAAAUAUCAUUUUUGAUGAAAAAGAAACUAAAUUGAAAAAAAUUAAAAACAAUCUAAAUCAAAAUUCAAAAUUUAAUUCACAAUGUUAUUGUAUUUAUAUGCCAAUAAACAAAACUAAAACUCAAUCUAAACAUAUAUGCUCAAAGAUAUGUGAAGUUUCAAAAAUAUCCACUACAGAUGAUUCCUGGUUAAAUCAAAUAAUUAACUUUAGAAGAGAUAAUUGGUUUGAAUGCCAUGCAAAUUUUUUUUUUAAUGAUAUUGAUUUAAAUAGAGUAAAUAAGCUAUGUUUUUUAAGUAAUACAAAUUGUAGUGUUGAAAAUAGCUCUAAUAACUGUAUUUGUUUAUCAUCGAAAAACCAAAAUAAUAUCACAAUCAACCCUGAAAGAAAAAAACUAAAUGGUCAAAAAAAAAAAGUGACAAAACAUUUUGAAAAAGGAUCACAAAAAUCUUGACCAACCAGCUUCUUGUUCAUCAAAAUGAAAAUUGUAUAUUAUGAAAAUUUUUUCCAAAUGUACAUAUAUGUUUAUUUGUAUAAGUAAGGUAUUAUGUAUUAUAUUAAAGUGAAAACAUAAAUUAUAAUUAAUUAUGUAUGUUUAAACAAACUUAUUUUAAAUUAACUAUAAUUUUAGUCUAUUUUCAUUUUUCAUUUUUUUUAUAUUUUACUACUUUUUUCACAUUUUAAUAUAAGUUAUAUUAUUUUUAAAUACACUAUUUGUUAAAUAUAUUUGUUCUUUUUUUGGAUCAA
Molecule: RNA transcript, 1505 nt
Organism: Daktulosphaira vitifoliae (grape phylloxera)
Lineage: Eukaryota; Metazoa; Arthropoda; Insecta; Hemiptera; Phylloxeridae
Exons: 7
Source: RefSeq, a predicted model, not a curated record